AGCCUGAACGCUGGCGGCGUGGCUAAGACAUGCAAGUCGUACGGGUGUAGCAAUACACCAGUGGCGGACGGGUGAGUAAUGUAUCGCUAACGUACCCCGGAUUCUGGGAUAGCUGCCCGAAAGGGCAGGUAAUACCGGAUGAUAUAUCCUUUUCGCAUGAUGAGGAUCUCAAAGGGAAACCGUUCUGGGAGCGGGCGAUAUCGUAUCAGCUAGUUGGUGAGGUAACGGCUCACCAAGGCGACGACGCGUAGCCGGACUGAGAGGUUGGCCGGCCACAUUGGGACUGAGACACUGCCCAGACUCCUACGGGGGGCUGCAGUAACGAAUCUUCCGCAAUGCACGCAAGUGUGACGGAGCGACGCCGCGUGUGGGACGAAGUCCUUCGGGAUGUAAACCACUGUCAGGGGUUAGAAAGUUCUGAUCAACCCCAGAGGAAGGCACGGCUAACUCUGCGCCAGCAGCGCGGUAA
This 469-nucleotide ribosomal RNA is filed under the name uncultured bacterium. Its description in RNAcentral is "SSU rRNA". It matches the Rfam family "Bacterial small subunit ribosomal RNA", at positions 26 to 523 of the family's 1533-position model. The record is from RNAcentral.